Long non-coding RNA from Cygnus olor (mute swan), 8472 nucleotides. RefSeq lists it as uncharacterized. The transcript has 2 exons. Lineage: Eukaryota; Metazoa; Chordata; Aves; Anseriformes; Anatidae. The record is from RefSeq and is a predicted model, not a curated record.
UGCCGUUCCCUCGGGUCCUGUCGCUGUCCCCAGAGAGCAGAGCUCAGCGCCUGCCCCUCCGCUCCCCUCGUGAGGGAGCUGCAGGCCGCCAUGAGGCCUCCCCUCAGCCCCCUCUGCUCGGGCUGGACAAACAAAGUAUAAGAAGUAUCUUUGAAUGUGUAACCAGGGUUGCCCCUUUCCAGGUGCAGAAUCCGGCACUUGCUCUUGUUAAACCUCAUAUUGCUGGUGAUUGCCCUGCUCCCUAAUUUGUCAAGAUCUCUCUGGAAGGCUUCACCACCCUCGAUGGAGUCAACAGCUUUACCCGAUUUGGUAUAAUCUGCAAUCUUGCUUAAAAAACCUUAAAAGUCCUUCAUCCAAAUCGUUUAUGAAAACGUUGAAGAGGACUGGUCCUAAAAUGGAGCCCUGACGAACCUGCCUAGUGACAGGUCACCAGCCUGAUCUAACCCCAUUUACAGGAACCCUCUGGGCCUGACACGUCAGACAAUUCUUCACCCAUCCUAUUGUGCUUUUAUUUAACUGUAUUUGGGUCACUUUGUCUAGAAGGAUACUCUGCGAGACAGUAUCAAAAGUUUUACUAAAACCCAGAAAGAUUAUAUUGACUGGCUUGCUUUGGCCAACUAGCUGGGUGAUCUUGUUGUGGAGGGAAAUGAGACACCAAAUAGAUCUUAAGCAGUGAGCCACAGAAGAAGUUCGACAUGGAAAGUUACUGGUACAGAAAUCUUGCGAAUCAGGUAUUUUUUUUUCUUCUGUUUUUAAGGUCUUAAGAAUGGAGUAAGCAAGGGGUAUGUCUACGUAAGUAUUUUAGUUUGUAACAGAACUUUUCUUUUGAAGUGAAUCUGGCUGCGUUAUGGUUUGCACUUUUGAAAUGGGCUUGAACUGCGUGUAUUUGAUUCAUUUUGGAUGAAUUGGAAGAUGUAUGCCAGGACAGACCAAAUAUAUUCCAGACAGAAACAGGUCUUUGGUCCUUGUGGCCAAAACAGAACUUUUCAAAAGAAUGACAACCAAAAUGCCGAAAUGUUUGUAGUGUGGGUGUUAGAUUCUUACAUUGGCUCUGCAGUUUUACCCGUACUGUAGCAGUCUUAGUCAAGGUGAUAUCCAUGGGAAUGGUGAUAAAGAUAUAAAGAAGGCAGAGCUUACACAAAAAGUGUGGUAUGAAACUCAAAAGAUCUUGCACUGAGGAGGAGAACUCAGGUUUUAUGAGGGCAUCAGGUACAGCAUGAACUUGGUUUAAAAACAUUCCAUCCUUGUCAGGAAAGUUGAAGAAAAUGCAGAGAAUAAAGUUGGGGUACUGCAAAGGAUGUGUCUUUAGCCUACAGAGUAACCCAGAAUACUUGAGAACUUGAGUGAAAUGAUAUGUCAAGUUUAAUAUUUUUGUCCAGUUUGAAGUAAUGGUUAUGUGGUCAAGAGAUCAUGGCUGUGUUCAAGACGUCUGUGUAAUACCAGUCUGUGUUUAGGUUUGUUUGUACUUGCUGUAUAUUUCUUAAGCUAGGCAAAAGGUUGCUACUUCAUGGAAUGAAUGAUGAGGACACGUUUGAGAGUCAUGGAAGAUUUUGAAGGGUUUGUGUUAGCGCCAUAUUGCUAUGGAGCUAUGAGGUUUUUUGUGCCAGUGACUACUUAGUUCUGGUUCGAGGACAUGAAAGCACACAGGGAUCCAAGCAGCCUUCCGAGUGUCCAAGAGAUAGCACUAAGCUACACAUUUCUGAUAUGUCUGUUUUAAAAUGUCAGUUCCUGACUUUUCAUGCCUCAGAAUGUUGGUUCAGUUUUGCAAUCUCUCAAGUAUUGAGCUCUCCAGACUUGCUUGGGCUAAGCUGGGGAUAUGUGCACAUGUGGUUCAUGAAACUUCCAUGAGGUAACCAGUAACCACUCCAGAUUUAGACAAGCCUUCCUGACUUUGUCUGGUGUUGUCUUGCUUCCUCAUUUUUGUUUGUUAGUUUUCUGUACGUUGGAACUCAUUCCUGUGGACCAGAUUGUAUUUAAAUCCACAACAAAUACAGCCAUAAUCAGGCUAUCUACAGAGUUGCCAAGAGGAAAGAACUUGAAUCUAAGCCUAAAAUUCAGAUUGUUCUGUGUAGAAGUUGAAGGAAGUUGUAUGGCUUAAGGAGAGGCCACUGCUUUAGUGAUCAGGGCAGUAACAUGACUGGAGAAGAGAAACUCAGGAAAUACGUAGGGGUCCAGCCCCAUUGAAGGAGAAACUUCAAGAGAACGAAAAGUUUUUCUGAGAAAGCUCCUGCGAGAAAAAAAAGGCAUCUAGAUAUUCCAGAAGAAAGAGACUACCUUUUCUCAGCUGGCGGAGAAAGUGAAAAGAACUGGAAAACCUGCAUGCAAAAGGUAAAAAAUGUAAGUAUUAGCCUUCUGGAUGCUCUGUGUUUUGGAAACCCAGCAACACUUGUAAAUUACUGAGCAGAUGUGAGCUGCAUUAACUUGGUCUUACUAAACUUGGUUAAAACACAACCUACAACAGCGAAUGCCUAGAGAACAAUGAAGAGAUAAAGCUACAAGUGGUGACGUUUGAGCUGCAGUUCCUGAUCCGUUUUACAGGAACAAUUAGGACUGAAGUGUAAUGUCAGUUUGACUGAAGGUCAGGGCCUAAGUAGUCUUUUAAAACUGAGACUUCAGUAGUAAAGACUCAAAGCUGAGAAUAACUGUACUCCAGAAAAAUGGGCUGUUUUUAUUUUGUUGUGAUAGCUGUACUUCUGUUACAUUCUGUCAAUGGACGAGUUCUGUUUCUGUGGAGAAGGUACAGAUUAUCUAGAAACUUCCUAAAACAUUGUUCUUGAUAUUAAACAUUGAUAGUGUAUGUUAAUUGAAGGAUGGAAACUAGAUCUGGAAAAGCCACACAUGAAGCUGUUCUGUGCCUUGGAAGCGUAGCCAAUCUGUAAAUGUCGUUUUACAUGAAAUGAGGAGGUAUUAUCACUGCUUUAGACUGUGGCAGCUAGCAACUGGUUGGAGUCACAGAGUUUUAGUCUCUUACAAGAUCAUUUACCUUUGCAGGGCUGAGAUAAAUCUAUUUAUCCCUAUGCCUCUGUUUUAUUGUAGUAGUAAGGUCCACACUUCAUUGUGUGUGGUGUGGAUGGAAUAACAAUUCAGGAGGGAAAUGUCUGGGGAAAAGUAAAGGAAGAGGUGAAGAGAAAAAGAGUAAAGAUAAAGUGAAUGUGGUGAUGCUGCAGUCAAAGCCCAUGCAUGUUCGUGUUUUAUUAGGGCAAAGAGUGGGAAGGAUGUUCUCGUGAAAGGCCUCUUUUGCUUUCUCCUUCCAUGGCGAUACAAAUUUGCGUAUGCCUAGCAUGGUUCAUUUUAGGUUGUUUGCUCUGUGCGCAGGAGUAGAAACCCAGUAAAGAUGCCAGGUAAUUCGAGAGAUUGGUUCCUCCUCUCUGAUUCGGCUCCAUGAGUGCAGGUCUUUCUGUCAUUUAAUCAGUGCAGGUCAAGGGGGGCUCAGCACCUGUGUUGCAUCAGAGCUCAUCCUCCUCUGAAUAGCACUGGUACUGUUGCACGGUACGGAGGUUCCAGUAAGCUGUGCUGACAAACCUAACAUCACACUGCUCAUGUAGGUCUUGCUUUCUGUGGUCUUUUUAUUGGAAUGCUCUGAAUGAUUAGAUUACAAAUGAGCGUGAUUCCUAUUGAUAGUGUUCUUUUUUCUUUACAACAACUUCUGCAAUUGGAUUUCACUUGACUUACUUAUUAGUGCCAACACUUUAUUCCAUAAAUUGCUUCUGGAUAUCUUCAGCAAGAACACUUGGUUUUCUGUGUGAUGGAAUUAUUCAGUGAAUUGUAGCUUUUUUUUUUUUUUUUUUUUUUUUUCUAUUAUAGUUAGAAGAACCUAAUUUGUUUCUUAAUAUUGUGGCUUUUUAUCACUUAACAGUUCAGCAGUGCCCAGAAAAUUGCUUACGCUUUCAUUCACAGUAGAGCAAACAACAUGCAUUUGCUUUUCCAACUGUGACAUAGGAAUAUUCAUGUUUUGAAUUAGAAGAUGUGAAGUAAGUGGGAGACUUGAUACAGCUGACUUUUCACUCUGAGACACCUCUCUGGAUUGCAUCUUGGUCUCCUUGGAGGCUGCUGCUAUCAUUAAGUCAUAAGCUAGCCCAGGGCCCUCCUGUCUUGCUGCUGUGUAAACAGAAUGGAAUUUCAGCUCCGUGGCCAAACAAGAUGCAUCAUGACUGUAGUCCAGGAGUUAGGACACUUAUUUAUAUCCAGUGAAGAUCAGCUUAGAGAAUCGUGGAAAACGAUUCUCUGGUCCCAGAAGAGAUGUUGAACACCAGUGUGAGGGUCAGGCAGUUUUGCAGAGGAAGCUGGGAACAAGAAGAGGAUAUAAUUAUGUUCCUGUACUUCAGAUUCAAAUCCUCUGUACCAUUUUAAAAAUAUAUAGGAUAUGAUAUGCUGACUACUUCAAAUGCAGGAUAUAGGAUAUGACGGCAGACUUUUUGUAUUAAUUAACAUUUUCCCUCAGAUAGCUUUUCUUAACUAAAUGAAAAAGAAAAAAGUUCUGACUGCAUUUUAUAAGUGUUCUGAUCUUGGUGGUGUGUGCGUGUGAGGCAUGCUGUAAGCAGGCUUACCCUAUGCACCCUCUUUCAAAAUAUGGGUAAGCAUAAAGCUCUCUGGAGAUGAUCAGAAAACUUGUAGGUAAAACAGGUGGGUUCCUUGCACACUUAAGCAGGACAAAGGUGGUGUUCUUUCUGAGUUCUUUUGGGCAUGGAUGAGCUCCCUAUUUGUGUCACAUUUAGCGUCUUUGCCUUCAGAGUUGAAUGAGAGGCUGUGUGUGUUAUGGAAACCAUCUGCAAAAUCAGAAGAAUGGAGUGACAUUAUCUUCUAAAGAAAAAUAAACAUGUUUAUGAAACUGUUUGAAACCUUUCCAUGGGUACAUUUACCCUUGUAAGAGGUUUUGUUGAGACUGUGUUUGUCAUAGUAGUAGUGCUUCUUCAUCAGUAUGCUAGGAAAGUGAUUUUCUGAGUUCAUUCUUUAUUACUGAAAGAAAACAAAGUGUAUAGCAGAACAAUGACCCUUGUCUUCAGAAGAAUGGAUGUAAGCUUGUUGGAGGUGGAUGACAUCCCAUUGGAGGCAGCAGAGGAGAGUAAAGAGGGCCAAGAGAGCUUUUUGAUGGUCAAGCGUAGCAUCCUUCAUGCAUAGAAAGGGAACGUUUUGAAGUUUAUGAGCUGUGUAUAUGGCAGGGGGUCCCAGUGGCUAGCUGGGGAGCUCAGACUGAACUCAGCUGGACUUGUACAUGGAUGGAAGUGGGAAUGGUCCACAUGACAUAAACGGACAUUGCUAAGAUGGCAUAGAGGAGCUAGCUGCUUCUGAAGGGGAUCUGAAAUUUGUGGUGGAUGAGAAAAGCAACAAGAAAGGCUGUUAGAGCUGCAUAAGCGACAACAGAGGGGACUAAGGAAUACGUGGACCUGCUGAAGAAUGGGGUGGUGGGCCUGGUGAUAUAGGAAGUAAAAAUGGUUGAGUUACUCAGUAGAUAACUGGCAAGGUUUGUUGUCAAGUCUUCUAGAUCCAUGUGCCCAGAGGCCAAGUCUGGGCCAUGGUAAAGGAAGUCUGAGAUGGGGAUUCCUUAAGCAGUCUGGACACAUACAGAAAUUCAUGGAUGCAUCCAGUGCUGCUGAGGGAGCUGGCCAAUGUCAUUGGUCAACACUGCUCUCUGUGACCAUCAAAAGGGCAUGAUGAUUCGAUGAAGUUCAUGAUGACCAGAAGAAGGCAAGCAUCCUCGAGAAAAAUUAGGUGAAUUUGGGGAACUUCAGGCUAGGCAGCCUAAUCAGAAUCCUCAGGAACAUUAUGGAGCCACUCUUCCUGGAAGCCAGGCACAGCUGGAAAAGGUGACUGGGAACAGAAAAGACAGGUUUACUGAGAAAGAUGUGAUUGUCUUCUUCAAAGAGAUGAUUAGUUGUGUGAACGAGGGGAGAGCGGAAUUUUAAAGUCUUUGUAGCUAAGAUGGAGAAGUAUGCUGUGGACUGACAGAUCAUCAGUUGAGUGGAAAAUGGGCUGGACCAAUGGACUCAAAGGGUUCAGAUGGCAGCUGGUUUUACCUGGCAUUGCUCAGAGGCUGAUGUUAGGGAUGCUCACAUUUAAUGUUCUCAUAAGUUACCCAGAUAUUGGGAUGGAGAGCAUCCGCAGAAGUUCAUGUCACACAAAACUGGGUUGUGGAGUGCCUGAUGAGCUGUAAGUCAGGCCUGAUAUCCAGAGGCACCUGGACACAUUGGAGAAGUGGGCUGAGAGGGACCUUCCAAAGUUAAGUCAGAUGCAGAGUUUCGGCACUCAGAAGGGACCAGUCUACAGGUUUGCUGGGAUUGACUUGCUAGAAAGCUGCUUGCAAAGCUGGAUCUUGGGAUUUUGGUUGGACAAAAAUCAGCAACAUGCCCUUGCAGCAAUGAAGGCCAGGCGCACCCUGGGCAGCAUAAGCAGCAGCAUAAUUGAGGGAACUCACUAAUCCCAUGCAUUUUGCUCUUGUGAGACUACAUCUGUAACGCUGUGUCCAGUUUUGGGGUCACCAGUACAGGGAAGAUGCAGACGUACUGGAGAGAGGCUUGUGGAGGGCCAGUGAGGGGGGAUUGAGCCUAUGGCAUGCAAACAGUCUGAGAAGCUGGGUUCAUUUGUCUUGAAGAGGAGAUGUCUUAGAGGGAGCUUUCUAAUUUCUGUUUUCUUCUAUCCAAUGUGUAGUCAUAGGGAAGACAGACUCUUGGAAGUGCACGUGGAAAGGGUAAGAAGUAAUGGACUGAUGUUGCAGCAGGAGAAAUUCUGACUAGAUAUCAGGAAAAAAAAAUCUUCACAGUGAGGAAGAUCAAAUGCUGGUUGUUCAGGGAGGCUGUAGUAUCUCCAUCCUUGCCAGAUGCUCAAAGCCUGAUUAGACAAACCCCUGAGCAAUGUGGAUCUGGCUUGAAAGCUGGCUCUCGUCUUAAUAGGGAAGCAGACCAGACAGCCUGCAAAGGUCCCUUCCAAUGUUUUUGUGUGAUUCUAUUAACAGCAGCGUAAAUAUCUUCAAAGUAGGUCCAGAAUAAAGUGAUGCAAGCAACAAGGAAGUCACAAAGAGAAAAAAAAUAAAAAGUGAAAAGCCAGAAUUGCAGAACUGAAAUAAAAAGCAUGUGAAAGAGGAAAAAGUCAGUUGUAUUUGGAAGUUCUGUUACUUUGAAAGCAUAAAUUUACACUUAUAAGCCUUUAUGUGUUUAUACAGAAUUUAUGUAAUAUCUCUCUUUUUGUUUUGAGGGUGGGAGAAAUGUCAUAUUACACUGUUUAUUGUUUGCCACAAUUAAUUAGAAAUCAGUGAUUGGAAACUAUUAAUCAGAAGAUGGAACACACUUCUUUAGACCACUGAAGGAAAAGAAAUGGAAUAAAAGAGUAUCAGAGCUGUUACAAAGAGACUGAACUUUGUUUUGAAAAAUGCAUGACUGUUUCUUGCCUUCCAGAACAUAAAUGGUAAGACAUGUGUGGCUAAUGUCCUUUACCCGCUUUCCAUCCCCUGAUGGGCUUCAACUGCCACGGGACAUCAUUCAGCCUCUGUUAAUCCCCUUGUGUGAACUCAGACAAGUGCCAUGGUGGUCACUGAGAAGCCAAAAACAAAACCUGAAGCGGUGUAGCUUGUAAUCUAAUUAAAAUUUUCAUUUUGUAAAAGAUUUUGGGAAUUGCGUAAGCUGGUGCCUACCUCAGAUGCUUGCUUGGCUUAAAAUGUAUGUGUGCAAUGUACAUAUGUUACUUGACUCUUUUUAAGCCAAAAAUAAAAUGUAUGUAAUUUCUUGUUUGCCUUUUAUACAGUAGAGCCUGGACUUCUGACUGCUGCACAGUGAUCCCAGCUGACUGCUUUUUGGAUAAUAAAAGGCCAGUUCUGUGCUGCCUUCCAGAUUGCUUGCAUAAAAGAGAACCUCAGCAACACUUGUGUAGCCAAGUCGGGUCAAAAUUUCAGACUGAAAAGAGAAGCAGAUCUUGAAAGAAAAGCUCUUGGUCAGAUUUAUGUGUCUGAGUUUCAUGAUGUUCUGCUUGGUGUUCUCUUCUUUGUCAGCCUCUGAUGUUUUAUAUAGCUGCAUAGAUUUCAGUAUUAUGAUUUACCAAAAUUGUAAAUUUUAAUUGGAAAGAUGAUGGCUGAAUGGCUCCAUGUGGUUAAAAGGAUAGGUUCUUACGUAGCUUUUGCUUCACAUCUAUAAAAUGUGUGAUGAAAUGUCAGAUGCUUUAAUUAGACCGUUAAAAGAUACAAAGCAGUUUAACUGGUGGAUGUUAAUGAAGAGAUGUCUAGGAGUGCCUAAAGCCAAACAAAAAGCUGUUCUAUUAGUGCUGCUAUCUGAAACUCCAAAACCCAAAUGUCACACUGGACUGUAUUCCUCUUGGGUCUUGUAUCUAGAAAAGCUCCUAUUUUGUUUAUGUUUAGGAAAAAAUGGAAAGAAAGGUGUGCAUAUGAUGUGAGUAUACUUGUAAAUAUACUGUAAAUUGUGCUGUAAAUAUUUAGAAUGUUAAUUUGGAUCAUUGGUGUUGUCAACUAAUAAAACAGCAUAAAUUAUU